GCAGCAGCCACGGGAAUACAGAGGGUGCGAGCGUUAAUCGGAUUUACUGGGCGUAAAGCGUGCGUAGGCGGCUUCUUAAGUCGGAUGUGAAAUCCCUGAGCUUAACUUAGGAAUUGCAUUCGAUACUGGGAAGCUAGAGUAUGGGAGAGGAUGGUAGAAUUCCAGGUGUAGCGGUGAAAUGCGUAGAGAUCUGGAGGAAUACCGAUGGCGAAGGCAGCCAUCUGGCCUAAUACUGACGCUGAGGUACGAAAGCAUGGGGAGCAAACAGGAUUAGAUACCCGCGUAGUCCCUGUCUCUUAUAC
Molecule: ribosomal RNA, 302 nt
Filed under: uncultured bacterium
Lineage: Bacteria
Description: partial 16S ribosomal RNA
Rfam family: Bacterial small subunit ribosomal RNA
Source: RNAcentral